Molecule: long non-coding RNA, 1390 nt
Filed under: Nicotiana benthamiana
Lineage: Eukaryota; Viridiplantae; Streptophyta; Magnoliopsida; Solanales; Solanaceae
Description: long non-coding RNA (NBEN_LNC037210)
Source: RNAcentral
CUUAUCGAUUAUCGAUUUGUUCAUAUGCUUAUCGUUAUCGUUUCAAUAAGGUUUCGAUUUUUUCGAUUUUGACUUUUUCGAUUUCGAUAACAAAUAGUCGAUUCGAUUUAUCGAUAAACCGAUUCGAAUGCACACCCCUAAUCAUCACUUGUUACCUUAGAUAUCAUACAAGCAUCAUUACCUGCUAUAUUGAUGUGGUUUUCCUCAUUUCCUUGACCUUCUCUAACAUCUUUUCUUAGCAAGCUGAGAAUCUGCUUGUAGUGUUCUUCAGUAAAAUAUCGAGCCUUGACUCCAGCUGGCCCUAAGUUUCUGUAAUGCAUCAGUGGUGGUGGCAUAUCAAUAUUCCUGUCACAUUGUUGACAUCAUUAAAAGGUUAUUAACCAUAUCCCGUCUGUCCACCAUAGAUAGCUUGAGUUCCAGAUCCUCUAAGAAACAUGCCUUAAAUUCCUUUUAGACUUAAAAUCAUGAGGGUAUCCAACUAAUUUGCUAUGACCUUCCAUAUUACAGUAUUCACACUACAAAAAAGGUCUAUUGCCUUUAUAAGGAUGUCCACAAGAUAGCUGCAUAGCUAAGGGAUAUGUGUUUGCAGUGACUGCAUUUAAACCAACUGAGUGUUGAGUUUCAUCUUCAAUUAUUAUAGCAUAUGCUUGGUUGAUUGUAGGACAAGUUGAUUUUAAUAAAAUCUAUCUCCUAGCUUGGUCAUACGAGUCAUUCAAUCCACUUAGAAACGGUAAUAACCUUCUGCUGAUGAAAGUGCUCAACUGAUUCCUUAGAUUUUGCACGCUCACAACCAGGAAGGGGAACCAUGGCAUCAUAUUCAGCCCAGAGGUCCUUCAAUUUAGUGAAAUACACUGAAACAAAGUUUAUACCUUGUGAGUGAUUUGCAAUAUGACAGUGCAUAUAGAAGAUCCUCAUGCGAUUGACCUUGUCAAAUCGCUCCUUGAGGUCCUUCCACACGAUGUGGGAAUCUGAGGCAUACACAAUUCCACUAAGUUGAUCUUCAGAAACUGUAUUGAUAAUCCACGAAAGGACUGUUGCAUUGUAUGUUUCCCACUGCUCAAGAAACUCAUUCUCAAACAAUUCCUUCUUACAAGUACCUAACACAAACCCUAGCUUCCUCUUAGCUUGGAGAGCAAUUCUUAACAAUCUGCUCUACAAGUUGUAAUUUCUGAUCCGGCGAGCUUGACAAGAACAAAUAUUGAACCAAAGAGUGUCAGUCGAACUCAUGAACAGAGGAUGUAUGUAGGUGAGUUUUUCCGCCGCCAUAGCUGAAAACCGAGCUCGGAGAUGAAGAGAUUUACAGAGUGUCGUGGGUAAUUGGCUCGAAAAAUGCGUGAAUUACCACAAUCAGUUGUUUUGAUACCAUGCUAAAAGACCAUGAGAGCCGAAA